RNAcentral lists this long non-coding RNA (877 nucleotides) under Populus tremula. Its description in RNAcentral is "long non-coding RNA (PTRE_LNC000747)". Lineage: Eukaryota; Viridiplantae; Streptophyta; Magnoliopsida; Malpighiales; Salicaceae. The record is from RNAcentral.
UCAUGCCUUUCAUAUUACAAUAUAUCACAUAUAUAGAGAUUACAUGUAUCACAGAAGCCUUAACAAUAUGUAAUUAACAGCUCAUAAAAGUAAGAAUAAAUAAGAAUAAAAUCAUAUUAGAUUCAUCAGCCAAUAAGUUUCAUGUUGUGUAUUCUAGCACUUGGAUUUAAAAUCUACGCACUCUCUAAGAAUCACGAUUUUGAAAAUUUGUGAAAAAAUAGAUGAGAAAUCAUAGAUUUUCGCAGCAUUCGGCUUGGCAAGACUCAAGGAAUGAGGCGCAAAGCUGUAAAAUGAAGGAGGUAGAGAUGCAUAAGAAUGAAUUGGAGGGAUGAUUUAAAUUAUAUCAGUUUUGCUUUUUCAGCGUUUAAAAGGACAAAUUAACUAGUUUUUUUCUUGAAAAUUGUUGUCAUAUGCAUUCAUUUGAUGGCUUCUCAGAAAUGAAACAGUAAUUUCUUUACUUGAAUCUAACGAUUGAAUUAUUUCAAUUUACUGCCUAAGAUCCAACAAAAUGAGCUAUAAACAAUGAGAAGGUACAUUAUCAGAAGCUCACAACAACAGAGGAUUAUUGAAAAUAAUUUGGCUCACAAAUUGUAUGCUAAUCUAUAAGGUUUAUGUAUACCUUGCAAUACAAGACCUCUUAGAAACUGCAAGAGUACCCUAUAUAUAUACAUAUAUAUAUAUCGGUAAUUUAUUUUAAAUCAAUUUGUGCAAAAUAUGGCCGCUUUGCCCACAAUGAGUCGCAUGCGGAUGGAAGUUUUUCGCACAUAUUUUGGAUUUGAACCUCAUUUCACAAAAUCAAGGAAAAAAACAGAGAGAAAUAAAUGCUCAAAAUUAAUCUCCCUUAAAUGUCAAUAUCAUGCAAGGCCCUUCAAACAAA